Molecule: ribosomal RNA, 500 nt
Filed under: uncultured bacterium
Lineage: Bacteria
Description: bacterial SSU rRNA
Rfam family: Bacterial small subunit ribosomal RNA
Source: RNAcentral
UAGUCCACGCCGUAAACGAUGGACACUAGUUGUUGGAAUAUUUCAGUGACUAAGCGAAAGUGAUAAGUGUCCCACCUGGGGAGUACGAUCGCAAGAUUGAAACUCAAAGGAAUUGACGGGGGCCCGCACAAGCGGUGGAGCAUGUGGUUUAAUUCGAUGAUACGCGAGGAACCUUACCAGGGCUUAAAUGUAUUCUGACAGGUCUAGAGAUAGAUUUUUCUUCGGACAGAUUACAAGGUGCUGCAUGGUUGUCGUCAGCUCGUGCCGUGAGGUGUCAGGUUAAGUCCUAUAACGAGCGCAACCCUUAUCGUUAGUUGCCAGCAUUUCAAGAUGGGGACUCUAACGAGACUGCCGGUGCAAACCGCGAGGAAGGUGGGGAUGACGUCAAAUCAUCACGGCCCUUACGUCCUGGGCUACACACGUGCUACAAUGGUAUAGACAAUGAGCAGCCAGUGGGCAACCACGAGCGAAUCUAUAAACUAUAUCACAGUUCGGAUCGG